AUCCGGGGACUUUCGAUUAAGAGAACGGAUGGGGUUCCGUGUUGACUCCAAUCUAUUCGCCUGAGGAAACUCUAAGACGAAGUGAAGGACUGAGGUGAAAUCCUAUCGCUUCUCGUGCCUGGGACUACCACGCAUCGAGCGGCGGGCGCAUUGCCGGCUUGUUCCAAGAUGUAGUAGCGGACUCAUGCUUGAUUAUACUGAAGGCCGGAAGAUANUUAACUCUGUAUGCACAUGUUGAAACCGGAAGAAAAUCUGAUGUUUCGUUAACUGUAUGGGGACGAAUGAGUGAUAGAACCAUUCAAUAGCUGGUUAUCUCUGAACUAUCUAUCAGGUUAGCUGACAUUCUGGGAAAUACAGUUUUAUCCGGUCGAGUGAAUGUGUCGAGGUAAUGGGGGAAAAACGUCCUCAACCUAUUCUCAAACUUUAGAUGAACGUGAAGCUUGACUUCCAUAAACGGAGCCGGUCCUUGAGGGUAAGUACCAAAUAGGCUAUUUUUGGUAAGUAGAACUGGGGUUGCGGGGAUUAACCGAACAUAACGCGACGCUCAUGACAUGCUACAAAAGGUGUUGGUUGGUCCGGAAUCCGCAAAGGAGUGCAAGAAAUCACCCAUAGAAUAAAACAGACCAGAAAAUGGAUGGUGCUGUAGCAUCGAACCCCAACCCGAUCGUCACCGUAAGCUGAGUUUGGUGCAGAUCCAGAUGGCAGUAGCAAUUCUUCAGAUGAGAACCUCGAAAGUCGAGGAGAAGAGUUCCAUGGGAACAGCAAUCCUCAGUGAUUAAGAGAAUCAGUAAAGAUACAGGAUACCCAACAUUGUAAGGACUGCUACCAUUUUAAUGUAGAACAGUAACCCUCCGUAGCGGGAGUCGGGUUGAUAAAUAUUUCCGAAACUUCUCACGGGGAUUAGUGGAUUUUGGUUUCGGUCAGUUUGCACCUGGCGCGGUAACGCAUCUGACCUUGAAGAUGUCAGCGACGGUUCUCCGAAGAGAUCUCCUCUUUGUUGGGAGUAUACCGUCAACUGUAGACCGGGAGUUCGGAGAUUGGUGUCUAGCUCCCAUAAGGCACCACCCUUCUUGAGUUAUCUGAAACAGUCUUAUGGACUCUUGACAUUCUGAGCGGAGCCAUAUGAUUUUGCUGGUAUGCCGUAACCAUAUUUGUAUAAUGUCUUCAAGGUGAACGGUCUCUGGCA
RNAcentral lists this non-coding RNA (1186 nucleotides) under Echinostoma caproni. RNAcentral describes it as "Eukaryotic large subunit ribosomal RNA". It matches the Rfam family "Eukaryotic large subunit ribosomal RNA", at positions 665 to 1888 of the family's 3401-position model. The record is from Rfam by way of RNAcentral. Lineage: Eukaryota; Metazoa; Platyhelminthes; Trematoda; Plagiorchiida; Echinostomatidae.